RNAcentral lists this long non-coding RNA (1095 nucleotides) under Anas platyrhynchos platyrhynchos (common mallard). RNAcentral describes it as "lncRNA (ENSAPLG00000025685.1)". Lineage: Eukaryota; Metazoa; Chordata; Aves; Anseriformes; Anatidae. The record is from RNAcentral.
GGCGAGGCUGAAGGCCGGGCUGGGGCGGUGCCUGGCUGCAGGGUGGUGGAGGAGGUGAAGGAGGAGGAGGAGGAGGAGGAAGAGGCCAGGAUAUUCCUGAAUGAACGUCUCCCUCCCUCCUCACCCCACACCUCCGCCCGCUGCCCGCCUCCCGCCCGCCACUCGCCGGCCCCGCUGCGAGGCGCAGCCAGUUUCUAUAGCGACGGCGCCGAGCCGCCGCUCCUCCGAGUAGUAACAAAGCCGGCUGCCCGCGGCCGCGCCGACACGGAGGGGAAGCGGCUCCCGAGGCCCCCCGACCGCCCUCCGCAGCACCCCGGCAGGUUUGAUGACUACGUUAAGUGGAUUUGCUGGAGAUGUACGUAUGCUUGCUGUAGCCAGCAGCUAUUUCAGGACAAAAAGUGCACAGAGAACAUACCAAGGAUGAAUCAUCUGUUUUUAUUAUCAGUCAUUCAGGCAAUGUGGUGAUGGAUGGAUGAAUAGAUAGAGGCCAGAUCUGUGAGCCAGCUCGGCAUCUGGCAGUUUUUCCCCGUGUGGAGGAGAAUAGACAUUUCCUUGCAAGUGAACCUUUGCAAGAACUUCUUUUUCAUGGAAAGUAAGUCUCUAUGUAUUUAUUUCUCCCUCUGUACUUUUUUCAUUCUCCGGUUCCCUAAAUACAAAUAGCUUGCACUUAGAAGAAACACUUUGAAAACCUUUCAGAAUAUCACUUUGGGUAGCUCUAUGGAUGAUGAUAUCAUAUGCGAGUUAAUUAUUGACCUCAUGUUAAUUUGCCAAUAUUUCACAUAUAACCUAUGGUUACAUUAACAGAAAUGAAGUGUUAGAGAUAAAGGAUAAAAGGUUGGCUCGAUAAACUGGGCAAGGAUGAUCUUUCAUUAGAGAAGGGAAGCACGAAUUUCCCAUUUUCUUUGCCAGGCCAGCAUGACUGAGCUCUGAGAUUGAGAGCUUCAUCUACAACUAAUUGUUUCUGGCCCCUCAUCAGCACAUUUUGCCUACAGAAUGUUUGACAGGCAAGUGCAAAGAUCAGCCGUAACACACUGAACAGCCCAUUCACCUCACUCCACACCUGGAAUGAAAGCCUGCAGCCUGCUUCCAAGCCAU